UGGGGAAUUUUGGACAAUGGGGGGAAACCCUGAUCCAGCCAUCCCGCGUGUGCGAUGAAGGCCUUCGGGUUGUAAAGCACUUUUGGCAGGAAAGAAACGUCGCGGGUUAAUACCCCGCGAAACUGACGGUACCUGCAGAAUAAGCACCGGCUAACUACGUGCCAGCAGCCGCGGUAAUACGUAGGGUGCAAGCGUUAAUCGGAAUUACUGGGCGUAAAGCGUGCGCAGGCGGUUCGGAAAGAAGGAUGUGAAAUCCCAGAGCUUAACUUUGGAACUGCAUUUUUUAACUACCGGGCUAGAGUGUGUCAGAGGGAGGUGGAAUUCCGCGUGUAGCAGUGAAAUGCGUAGAUAUGCGGAGGAACACCGAUGGCGAAGGCAGCCUCCUGGGAUAACACUGACGCUCAUGCACGAAAGCGUGGGGAGCAAACAGGAUUAGAUACCCUGGUAGUCCACGCCCUAAACGAUGUCAACUAGCUGUUGGGGCCUUCGGGCCUUGGUAGCGCAGCUAACGCGUGAAGUUGACCGCCUGGGGAGUACGGUCGCAAG
Molecule: ribosomal RNA, 546 nt
Filed under: uncultured bacterium
Lineage: Bacteria
Description: partial 16S ribosomal RNA
Rfam family: Bacterial small subunit ribosomal RNA
Source: RNAcentral